CCUACGGGAGGCAGCAGUGGGGAAUAUUGGGCAAUGGGCGCAAGCCUGACCCAGCAAUGCCGCGUGAAGGAAGAAGGCUUUCGGGUUGUAAACUUCUUUGACAGGGGAAGAGCAGAAGACGGUACCCUGAAAACAAGCCACGGCUAACUACGUGCCAGCAGCCGCGGUAAUACGUAGGUGGCAAGCGUUGUCCGGAUUUACUGGGUGUAAAGGGCGUGUAGCCGGGAAGGCAAGUCAGUUGGGAAAUCUGGAGGCUCAACCUCCAAAUUGCAUUUGAAACGGUUUUUCUUGAGUACUGGAGAGGCAGACGGAAUUCCUUGUGUAGCGGUGAAAUGCGUAGAUAUAAGGAGGAACACCAGUGGCGAAGGCGGUCUGCUGGACAGCAACUGACGGUGAGGCGCGAAAGCGUGGGGAGCAAACAGGAUUAGAUACCCUAGUAGUC
RNAcentral lists this ribosomal RNA (442 nucleotides) under uncultured bacterium. RNAcentral describes it as "partial 16S ribosomal RNA". It matches the Rfam family "Bacterial small subunit ribosomal RNA", at positions 338 to 795 of the family's 1533-position model. The record is from RNAcentral.